This 2410-nucleotide long non-coding RNA is filed under the name Setaria italica (foxtail millet). RNAcentral's name for it is "long non-coding RNA (SITA_LNC005091)". Lineage: Eukaryota; Viridiplantae; Streptophyta; Magnoliopsida; Poales; Poaceae. The record is from RNAcentral.
UCGCUCACACUUGCCUCUAUUUCAUCUUAUUCUAAAAAAUUACUAAUUAUGUACCUCUAUGUACUAAACUAUGAAAUUAUUCUUCUAACCUCAUAACAAUUUCUUUGACUAAUACAAAAACAUAGCAUCCAAAAAAUUGUAGCUUACUCUAAAAAUCAUAAAUAUUAGCUCUAAAUAACACAUGCAUAUAAAUAAAAAAAUUCUCCAUUGUACCUUAUUCUAAAAAUCACAAAUUACUCUAGCUCUAAAGCAUAAAACUUAGUAUACUAAACAUGUAUCAAGGGAGGAUGAAAUUUCUAACCUUUAGAACACUUGAAUGAGUGAAAAUCCCACAAAAUGUUCUUCAAUCCGGCAGCACCUCCCCUAUAGUGCCAUGGAUAGGAUGAAGUUCGAGCUGUUGUGAAUGGCUCGGGCAAGAGGAAGAAGGAGGCGGAUUUAUAGGAGGAAAUUUAGUACCAGUUGGGGGGCCCCAACCGGUACUAAUGUGUACCUUUUAGUACCGGUUGGGGCCCCCCAACUGGUACUAAAUUUCCUCCUAUAAAUCCGCCUCCUUCUUCCUCUUGCCCGAGCCAUUCACAACAGCUCGAACUUCAUCCUAUCCAUGGCACUAUAGGGGAGGUGCUGCCGGAUUGAAGAACAUUUUGUGGGAUUUUCACUCAUUCAAGUGUUCUAAAGGUUACACCAAUGUUGAAGAAUUUCUUGAUGAAGAGGGAAUCAAGCAUGAGUUCUCCGCUCCAUACACACCUCAACAAAUGGCAUUGUGGAGAGGAAGAAUCAAACAUUGAUUAAAGCCGCAUGAACCAUGCUUGAUGAGUACNNNNNNNNNNNNNNNNNNNNNNNNNNNNNNNNNNNNNNNNNNNNNNNNNNNNNNNNNNNNNNNNNNNNNNNNNNNNNNNNNNNNNNNNNNNNNNNNNNNNGGGCCUGUAAUUUCGGCGACGGAGCACAUAAAACAAUUUUCAGCCACGGUGGCAUCUUCUUCGUUGAAGGUCAUCCUCUGUAAGGGCUAGGGAUAUCCUACUGGGUGUGUGGUGGGACCUAGAGUGGUUAAUUUUUCGUUGGAGUGCUUUUUAAGGAAAGAAUGGGAUUGACGAUGUUUUCUCACCAUUAGAUGUGGGGUCCCAGUUCUCAUCCACUCAAAUAUGAUGGCCCAACCACUACUGGGGAAAGAACCUUUCGUACAGCACAUUAGUGCCCGGUGCAAUUGGGUCCGCUCAGGGCCGCUCCGGAACCCCUUUAGUACCCGUUGGGGGCCCCCACCCGGUCUUAAUGGGACACAUUAGGAUCCGGUGGGUCCCCCCACCCGGUACUAAUGGCCCGGUGGCACAUUGAUACCAGGUGGGGGGCACCAACCGAUACUAAUGUGUACCCUUUAGUACCGGUUGGUGCCCCCAACCGGUACUAAAGGGGUCACAGAGCGGCCCUGAGCGGACCCAAUUGCAACCGGCACUAAUGUGCUGGACGAAAGGUUCUUUCCCCAGUAGUGGUUGGGCCCUCAUAUUUGAGUGGAUGAGAACUGGGACCCACAUCUAAUGGUGAGAAAACAUCGUCCAUCCCAUUCCUUCCUAAAAAGCACUCCAACCAAACAAUAAACCCUCUAGGCUCCAACCAAACAACCAGUAGGAUAUCCCUAGCCUAUACAGAGGGAUGACCCUCCAACGAGAAGAUGCCACGUAGGCUGAAAAUUGUAUAAUGUGGCUACGUAGGCUGAAAAUACCAGCACAGGAGAUCCGAAAGAGAAGACACGACACCCCGAGACUCCAGUCACACCCACGCGGGGCUCCGGUACCGAAAUCAAAAGGAGAAGAUGCCUUUUGACCUAUGCCCUCACGGCUCCACCGUUUAUCCUUACCGCAGCGCCACUUGCAUCCGCCGCCGCUCAACAAGAGGUAUCAUCCAAACGGUGCUUGGUCUUGGGUUUGGAUCUCGAGUUCAAACACGCCACUCGUGCUAAUUGCCCUGCUGCCGCCGCCGCGCCGCAUAUGUCCAUUCCGUCCUAAAUUUCCAGCGAGAAACUGGCAGAGAGUGAGAAGCAGCGAAGACAAAACGGAAGAUGCCACUGGAGCAAUCCGCUAGCAGCAUGGGCUCUCAAGAAGAGCAAGAAGGUACGGACGAGCACAUCAGGGACCAGCGUCACAUGCCAAGAUCGGGAUGACCGUCUAGUCAAACACGUAUCAUGCACAUUCGUCUUGUUGCACUACAAAAAAGUGAUUACUAUUUUGUUUAGAUUAAUCAUCAAGAAUUAUUCUUCGCGAAGACCUACUAGUCACUAGAGAGAGAGAGAGACUCCUCAAUUUUGGACGUUGGAACAUGAACUGCGGUAGGUUCAGUCAGUCGUACCCGUUCGCACUAGCGGAGUGUAAACUGUAAAGUCUUGUUUAGUUGUCCAACUUUAGGUAACUAAAAUUACUGU